Molecule: RNA transcript, 1029 nt
Organism: Vigna unguiculata (cowpea)
Lineage: Eukaryota; Viridiplantae; Streptophyta; Magnoliopsida; Fabales; Fabaceae
Gene name: protein GL2-INTERACTING REPRESSOR 1 pseudogene
Source: RefSeq, a predicted model, not a curated record
UGUAAGAAAUCCCUUUUUUUCUCGUGUGUUAAUUGGAUCAAAGAAGAGGAAUAGUAAGAGGAUAAACAUGCAGCUUUCACAUCGAUGGAACAGUAUCUUUCGCAGCCAAAUUCCAUUGAAUUCACAUGAUAUACCAGACCUGUUUUUAAUCCUGUUCAUGUUCCUGCAACCUUCGUUGUUAUAAUUUUCUAUCUUACGGUUGGCUCCUUCACUAACCACAAUAAUUAAAUUUGACAUUUCAGGUCAAACACAUCCUCUAGAAAAACCAACCCUUUUGCUGCUUGCUGCAAUAUAUAUAUAUAUAUGCAUGGCUGUUUUGGACAUGUUAUAUCAAACACAAUAAACCUAGCUGUCUGAUUCUUCUGGGCUUGUCCUGUGCUUCUUUUCAAUCAUUAUUUCAGACUCAUCAUCAUCAUACCAAUUUAUUUUAAUUAUCUUAUUAUCUAUUUGGAGAUUUGUUUGUUAAGAAAGGACAGAGAUGAGUAAUGAAAGAGGAAGGAGUGCUAAGCUGGAAUUUGAGCUGAGCUUGUCCCCACCAACAACUGCAAACUCAUCAUUAGCGAACCCGUCAUCAUCGUCACCAUUGUGUUUGUAUUCAUCGGAUCCUGAGUCAUGCGUGUCUUCAGAGACUAAUGAAGAGAUAAGAUCGAUGCUCCUUGUAGGUUGUCUUCGAUGCCUCAUGUAUGUUUUGUUCUCAAAGGAUGACCCCAACCCCAAAUGCCCCAGGUGCAAGAGUACUGUGUUGCUUCAUUUUCUUAAUAACAACCAAAACACCAACCAAACAACCACCAAGUUCUAGCUAGUGAGGGUGGUUAAAUACAUACAACAUACAUAUAAGAUUUGUUUUGUUCUGUUAUAGAAGAAAAUUACAUGUAAAAAUAAAAUUCCUUACGCAUGUUUAGGAUUUCAAUAAUACUGCUUGUUUACAUGGUUCCAUGUAAUUUUCUUUGUAGGGUAGCGUAUUAAAUAAGUUUCAGAGUUUUGUAUAGAUGUCUAAAUGAAAUUUAAGGGACAUUAUAGUUACUAUCA